This 433-nucleotide ribosomal RNA is filed under the name uncultured bacterium. RNAcentral describes it as "partial 16S ribosomal RNA". It matches the Rfam family "Bacterial small subunit ribosomal RNA", at positions 29 to 506 of the family's 1533-position model. The record is from RNAcentral.
AACGAACGCUGGCGGCAUGCCUAACACAUGCAAGUCGAACGAGACCUUCGGGUCUAGUGGCGCACGGGUGCGUAACGCGUGGGAACCUGCCCUUAGGUUCGGAAUAACUCCCCGAAAGGGGUGCUAAUACCGGAUAAUGUCUUCGGACCAAAGAUUUAUCGCCUUUGGAUGGGCCCGCGUUGGAUUAGCUAGUUGGUAGGGUAAAAGCCUACCAAGGCGACGAUCCAUAGCUGGUCUGAGAGGAUGAUCAGCCACACUGGGACUGAGACACGGCCCAGACCCCCUGGGGGGGGAAGAGGGGGGAAAUAUGGACAAGGGGGCGAAGGCCGAACCCACCAUUGCCGGGGGAGUGAUGAGGGCUUUGGGGUUGAAAACCUUUUUUCCCGGGAAGGAUAAUGACGGUACGGGGAAAAUAACCCCGGCCUAACUCCUU